CACUGUUAGGAAGUUUCAAAGGAAUCAUAAAAAUUUUGUAGAGAUUUGGAGAGUAAAAAUGUAGUAUCAAGAUCCAACAAAUAGUGCUAUGCGGCUGAAAUUUUACAGUGUAGAUUUUCAAGUAUAGCAGAUUAGACGUAAAAGAUCAACGGUUUAUAUUGAGAAUUUUUUGACAAAACCAAAGGGAAAUCUGCUAUUAGGAAGUGUCAAAGCUGUCAUAAAAAAUUCGUAAGAUUUGGAUAGAAAAAACAUAGUAGCAAGAUCAAACAAUCU
RNAcentral lists this long non-coding RNA (273 nucleotides) under Musa acuminata (dwarf banana). Its description in RNAcentral is "long non-coding RNA (MACU_LNC009596)". The record is from RNAcentral. Lineage: Eukaryota; Viridiplantae; Streptophyta; Magnoliopsida; Zingiberales; Musaceae.